UACAGAGGUCUCAAGCGUUGUUCGGAUUCAUUGGGCGUAAAGGGUGCGUAGGUGGCGCCGUAAGUCAGGUGUGAAAUUUCGGAGCUUAACUCCGAAACUGCAUUCGAUACUACCGUGCUUGAGGACUGGAGAGGAGACUGGAAUUUACGGUGUAGCGGUGAAAUGCGUAGAUAUCGUAAGGAAGACCAGUGGCGAAGGCGGGUCUCUGGACAGUUCCUGACGCUGAGGCACGAAGGCCAGGGGAGCAAACGGG
RNAcentral lists this ribosomal RNA (253 nucleotides) under uncultured bacterium. Its description in RNAcentral is "partial 16S ribosomal RNA". It matches the Rfam family "Bacterial small subunit ribosomal RNA", at positions 524 to 776 of the family's 1533-position model. The record is from RNAcentral.